GCCGUGUUGGCGUAGUGGUAGCGCGUCUCACUCGUAACCUUGCAUGUCUGGAAGGAGCGAUGAGAAGGUCACUCGUUCAAUCCGGGUACGCGGCA
This is a non-coding RNA of Sphagnurus paluster, 95 nucleotides long. The record is from the annotation of a GenBank genome assembly. NCBI's taxonomy places the organism in Eukaryota, Fungi, Basidiomycota, Agaricomycetes, Agaricales, Lyophyllaceae.